Long non-coding RNA from Dermochelys coriacea (leatherback sea turtle), 573 nucleotides. RefSeq lists it as uncharacterized. The transcript has 2 exons. The record is from RefSeq and is a predicted model, not a curated record. Lineage: Eukaryota; Metazoa; Chordata; Testudines; Dermochelyidae.
UAAAGGAGUGUAACUUGCUUACCUUAGCAUCAGAAAAUAGUUGUGUUGUCAGAGGGCAGUUGCCUUUUCUAUGUGUUUUUUUUUAAAGGUGUCUCAGCUGUGCAAUUUUUGGCCUUAGGGAAGUCUGUUUCUAAGCCCCUAGAAUAUUGAAUGCAAAUUCUAGCUUUAAUUAAAUAUCAGUCAAUACUACUAAUUAUACUGUGCACAGUUCCUGGAUCAUAUUCACUCCUGUCCUGUUUUUAGAUAGAAUAAAUGAGUUUGCCAACUGGAAAUCAAACUGGUGAGGAUGCAUACAUUAUUGUCAAUAUAAACAAAGUCCUUGAGAUGAGAAGUGGGAUGAUAAAGAAUGGACUGAAGAAAAAGCUAUUGAAAUACUGACUUCUUUGCCGCACACCUAGAAACAUAAAGAGGGAAGAAGAGGAGUCAGCAAUACUAGCAAUAAACUUAUUCUAUUAUCCUAUACUUGGCUUGUUAGCACAUUGACUUCCCUGACUCAGGUAGACUAACAAGCAAACAAUAUAUGGAGCGGCAAUAUUUUAUUGGUAUAUUAAAGAUUUCUAGCUAUUCGCAUAG